This 60-nucleotide non-coding RNA is filed under the name Alexandrium minutum. The record is from RNAcentral. Lineage: Eukaryota; Dinophyceae; Gonyaulacales; Pyrocystaceae.
UUUUUUUUUUUUUUUUUUUUUUUUUUUUUUUUUUUUUUUUAGACGGGCACUGUUGAAAUG